RNAcentral lists this long non-coding RNA (1968 nucleotides) under Hordeum vulgare. Its description in RNAcentral is "long non-coding RNA (HVUL_LNC005746)". The record is from RNAcentral. Lineage: Eukaryota; Viridiplantae; Streptophyta; Magnoliopsida; Poales; Poaceae.
GCGGCCCAACAGACGUACCAGGUAGGCUCACGACCACAGUCGGCCCAGCUAAAGGCCGAUGCCCAGUACCCCUUGGAGAGGUCACUCUCUCCUUCUCGGGGAUGACAAGUGGCAAUCUGAAAGUUUGCCCUUUUUCCAUAGUUAGAUUAGAUUCCUCUCAAUCUAAAACUAGACUCAAUGCUAAUAAAUUAAAUGUACUUUUCUUUCAAUAAAAACUUCAAAAAAUGGAAGGAAAAAACCAGAAACAUUUUUUCCACUUUGCUUCUCGCGAAAGAAAAUAUGUACCUUCACGAAAUGCAAAUUCGUGUCUCUCAUAGAAAAACAUUUUUCUCUGUGCCUCUCGUAAACGAAAAAAACAUGUUUUCCUUUUUUUUAAGAGGCGCAUCUCCCGAAACAAUAUGUAUCUCUACAAAAGCAAGUUUAUGCCUCCUGUGGAAGCAAAAGAAAAACACAUGUUUUUUUCUUUUGGAGAGGCACAAUUGUGUCGAUCACAAAAAGCAAAUUUAUGUCUCUCAUGGAGGCAAAAAACAAUUAUCUUUGUUUUUCAUGAAAUCAAAUAUGUGCCUUCACGAGAAACAAAUUUAUGUCUCUCAUGGAAGAAGAAAAGUUUUUCUUCUUUGACUCUUCCGUAAGAAACUCUUUUGCCUUUUGUAAAAGGAAAAAAAUACAUGUUUUCCCUAUUUCGUGUCGCGCUAUAUGAGUGUUCCCUUCGUAUUUUAUUUUUUAUUUUUUUUUGCAUGCGUUUUCGCCUUUUUUGAGUGGUUUUUUCCGGGUUUUUUAUGUUACGAUUUUUCAACGGCCUUUCGUAACUUUUGAACGGGAAAAAAUUUCGCGAAAAAACGUGUUUUCGUUUUUUUACGUGAAAAAACUCGUUUUUUUUUUUUCGAGAGGCACGGUUUUGCUUCAAGAAGAGGCACGGGUUUGCCUUCAUGAGAGGCACGGCCGUGCCUCUCGGAAAGGAAAAACAUAGACGCAUUUUUUUUGUGAGAGACACGGUUUUGCCUUCGCGAGAGGCACGCCCGUGCCUUUCGGAAAGGAAAAAAACAUGUUUUCUGUUUUUCUACGAGAGGUAUGGUUUUGCUUCCGCGAAAGGCACGGUUUUGCCUUUGCGAGAGGCACCUCUUCCAAAAGGAAGAAAAUGCAUUUUUUGCUUUUUGUUUUUUGCGUGAGGCACGGUUUUGCUUCCGCGAAAGGCACGAUUUUGCCUUUGCGAGAGGCACGCCCGUGCCUCUUUCGAAAAGGGAAAAACGCGUUUUUUGCUCUCUCUUUUUUCGCGAGAGUCGCGGUUUUGCUUCGGCGAGAGACACGGUUUUGCCCUCGCGACAGGCAUGACCCGUGCCUCUCAGAAAGGGAAAAAACGUGUUUUCUGUUUUUUUCCUAUCGCGUGAGGCACGUUUUUUUCGUCCGGUUUUUUCUUCUGGUUUUUUCAUGAAAAAAAGUUCAUCAAAACCUAUCAACAUGGAUCUAGUUUUGAAGAUGUCGACACGAGAAAGCCAACGGUGAAAACGGUUCGAGAUUUGAACGCACGGUUUAUGAGAUAAAACAUUUUUAAAAACGGAUCUACGAAAAAAGAGAAAACUUCCAGGUUGCGACAAGUGACACGCAUGCAGUGCGUCAUUUGUUGCAACCCGUUGAGGUGGGAGUAAUCGUUGGAAUGUGUACUCGUUAAUGAUUUUGCUAUAUUACUGCUGCGUCAGGCCCAACUCUGGCAAGCCCAUGCAAAUGGAUGGAGGCCUAGAACCGUUGAAAACCCAGCUCUGCGGCGGCCCAUCCACUCGCCGCAGAGAACAACACAAACCCCUCUCUCCCUGGUCGCCGUCGUCUCGCAUCUCCGCACGCACCGCCGUCGCCGCCCGUGCUCCCUUCUCCCCCCUCCCCCCUCCCCCCGUCGACGGCCAUCUAUUACUCCGGGCUCGGAUCGGCUAUCUCGCCCCGCCAAGGAAGGAAGGGCAUGGCUCUGCGAGCANN